UGAUUAUUAUAUUUCCUGUGUUGUUAUCGAUGGCCAUGAAGCUGAUCCAUUGGAGUGUCGUAUUGCUGAUGCAGUUUAUGCAGUUGAGGAUGUUAUCGAAUCCCAAAUUGUGCGUCAAAUUCAGAAACGAUACACUGCUGUUGAAGAUAAUGACUUCUUUCAUGAUUGUAACAACCCGGAAAAAAAAAUCAAAAAAAAAGAAGAAGAAAACGUCUCUCACUCCUAUCCUCACGUUGAAACCGCUCUCCCCUCACUCCAUAAAUCUCUCCCCCAUCUAAACCAAAUCUCCACAUGCAUAUCUCCCCAUGAUUCCACGUUUUCUUCAGUUCUAUUAAUUCCAAGAAAAUCAAGAAUUAGAAAUACAAAGAAGAAGUGUGAGCACAGUACCAGUUGAGGCCUAAGAAGAAGAUCAAGCAUCCAGUGUUUUGCAAAUUAUCAACGGUUCCCCUGAAUUUUACUCUAUUUUCAACUGCUUUUAUUGGCAUAUCUCUAUCUGCUCGAAAAUAUCCACCCAUCUUUCUCCCCUGGUAAUUAAGUCGUUCGUUGGUUGCUAGUUGGAGUUGCGUAGUUGGGGGAUUGAAGAAAUUCGAGUUGAGAUAAUUGCUCUCCGGUUGAAUGGGGAUUUGCCGGCGACAACCAGCGAAGGAGAAGAGAGACUGGAGUCAACAGCGGCUGACGUGACAGAUUGUGCUGCAGCAGCAGCAGCAACGGCGACGCGACCUCGACUCUGGGCUGGAUCGCGCACAGCCACGGUGGGAGGAAAGCAGCAACGAUGCCAGCGUCGAGUGCGAACAGCACCGUGCAGCGAGGGAUCAGCAGCGACGCCUUGGAGAAGAGAGCAGCAGCGGCUGACCCGGUGACUACGCCGACAGCACCAUGGCGGCAGCGUCAUAUCUUCUCGGCAAGCAGUGGCCGGUGGCGUGGAGUGAAUCGGGAAGGCGACGGGGAAGGUGAAGAUGCAGAAGCAGAUAGGAGGCGAUGCGCCGUCGUACUGCUACGCGUGCUUCUCCGGUAAUUAUCCGGUGCAGCCGACGGGGUUUUGGGGAAGAUUCCAAUUGAUGAGUAAAUUGGGAAAUUAUGCAAGGAAUUCAUUGUGCCUUUGCAUACUGAUGCGGCGCAGGCUUUGGGAAAUUCCCUAAUUUUGGGCAUAAUUAAAAUGAAGGAGAAAUAGGUGAAAUACCGAUGGUGAAGAGGAAGUGAUGUUGGGCCACUUUGGUUUGGGCCUCACAAAUAAGGUGGAGAAUUAAGGUGGCCAAGUAGAAAAUUAAUUUGUGUCAUAUUACAAAUUAAAAAGAGAUAGGCUAAGGGGAACACUCAUGAUGACGAAGGCUUUUCAUGCACGCUUUUCGGGGAUGGAAUGAAGCACAAGUUAAAGCUUUAAACAAACGAGGGUUAAGGACAGACAGUCGGGAUAGGUAGCCUUGGGACGGUGAUGAACUCUCUCUGAGUCCCCACCUUAAUAACCUGCUCUGAUACCAUCUUGAAGAUGGUAACCGAGAGGGAUAAGGGAUAAAAGGCUAGGCAUGGUGAAUUGCAGAGAACAAAGUUUAUGAUUCUCUUAUUUCUGUAUUUCUGUGUAUUUUACAUUGUAUACAAUGAUCUCUUUUUAUAGGAGAGAAAUACAAGUAUAUUUGGAAACAUAUCAAUCUAUUCUAGGUAUAA
This is a long non-coding RNA of Salvia splendens (bonfire salvia), 1662 nucleotides long. RefSeq lists it as uncharacterized. The transcript has 2 exons. NCBI's taxonomy places the organism in Eukaryota, Viridiplantae, Streptophyta, Magnoliopsida, Lamiales, Lamiaceae. The record is from RefSeq and is a predicted model, not a curated record.